RNAcentral lists this ribosomal RNA (497 nucleotides) under uncultured bacterium. RNAcentral describes it as "partial 16S ribosomal RNA". It matches the Rfam family "Bacterial small subunit ribosomal RNA", at positions 28 to 507 of the family's 1533-position model. The record is from RNAcentral.
GAUGAACGCUGGCGGCGUGCCUAAUACAUGCAAGUCGAGCGAACGGACGAGAAGCUUGCUUCUCUGAUGUUAGCGGCGGACGGGUGAGUAACACGUGGAUAACCUACCUAUAAGACUGGGAUAACUUCGGGAAACCGGAGCUAAUACCGGAUAAUAUUUUGAACCGCAUGGUUCAAAAGUGAAAGACGGUCUUGCUGUCACUUAUAGAUGGAUCCGUGCUGCAUUAGCUAGUUGGUAAGGUAACGGCUUACCAAGGCAACGAUGCAUAGCCGACCUGAGAGGAUGAUCGGCCACACUGGAACUGAGACACGGUCCAGACUCCUACGGGAGGCAGCAGUAGGGAAUCUUCCGCAAUGGGCGAAAGCCUGACGGAGCAACGCCGCGUGAGUGAUGAAGGUCUUCGGAUCGUAAAGCUCUGUUAUUAGGGAAGAACAUAUGUGUAAGUAACUGUGCACAUCUUGACGGUACCUAAUCAGAAAGCCACGGCUAACUACGUG